UGAUGUCACUUCCUGCCCUCCCCCUUCCCAGAGAGUGCACUGAAGGCCACACUGCUCUGCUUUUACUAUAUUCUCUCAGCAGCACUGAGUCAACAUGAUCAGACUUCUCCUUAUUAUCACGGUCUCAUUUCUCUCAGUGAGAGGUGUGCAGAGUAAAGUCAUUAUGGCCCCCAGAAUUCUCUGGGGUAAUUUGGGGGACCCGGCCCAGAUGAACUGCAGCCACACGUUGGGAGCAGCUUACAAUCAGAUGUACUGGUACAAACAGAACCCACUUGAGGGUAUUCAGCUAAUAGUUUUUACUUCUUAUGCAAGCCCUGAAUUUGGUGAUGUUAGCAAAGACAGGUAUGUGGCAGAGAAAGCUGUGGCUGAAAGAGGCUCUCUCAAGGUGAAGAAGCUGGAGGCAGAAGACAGCGGCACAUAUUUCUGUGCAGCCGGUGAACACGGCCCUGCAGACUCAUUGGCUGGGUGAACAUAAACCUCCCCGUGCCAGUCUCACUGUGACAGGGGAGGAGCAGACCUGAAACGAAGCCAAGAACACAAACGGCAGUGAGGCUCUCCUGCAGGGGGCUGUAAAGCUUCAUAAAGAGGCAGACAUGUCAUUUAAAAAAUUACUUUUCUCUUGUCUCCUCCUCCCCUCCCCCCAAAGACAUUCCUGUUAAUUGGUCACCUUAUUCCAUUGUGAUGUCACUUCCUUCUUCAUGAAAUGGAUAACUGAUGCUGCUCUUUCUCAAGUAGUGAAGCAAGAAAAUGAUCCAAGCGUACCCCAGGCUAACAGCAGCCUUACUCUGGUUGACAGGGCUGGCGCUCAGUAAUAAAGUUAAUCAGUCUCCUGCUGAACUGAUGAGAGACUCUGGAGGAUCCAUGCAGCUCAACUGCAGUCAUACCAUCCCAUCUCAAUACACCAUACUGUGGUACCAUCGAGCACCAGGGGACAGUGCCCUGACUCUGAUGGGAUAUGUUUAUUAUAAUGAACCAACCGUAGAAACCUUAUAUAAGGAUCACUGCAGUUUGAGUGGAGAUGGUUCAGUGGCAGCAUCUCUUCACGUCCCGAAAGUGAACUCCAACGACAGUGGAGUGUAUUUCUG
This is a long non-coding RNA of Anguilla anguilla (European eel), 1085 nucleotides long. RefSeq lists it as uncharacterized. The transcript is spliced from 3 exons. Lineage: Eukaryota; Metazoa; Chordata; Actinopteri; Anguilliformes; Anguillidae. The record is from RefSeq and is a predicted model, not a curated record.